This 253-nucleotide ribosomal RNA is filed under the name uncultured bacterium. RNAcentral describes it as "partial 16S ribosomal RNA". It matches the Rfam family "Bacterial small subunit ribosomal RNA", at positions 524 to 776 of the family's 1533-position model. The record is from RNAcentral.
UACGGAGGGUGCAAGUGUUAUUCGGAUUUACUGGGCGUAAAGAGCACGUAGGCGGAUAGGUCAGUCAGAUGUGAAAGCCCGGAGCUUAACUCCGGAACUGCAUUUGAUACUACUUGUCUUGAGUAUGGUAGAGGGGGGUGGAAUUCCCGGUGUAGAGGUGAAAUUCGUAGAUAUCGGGAGGAACACCAGAGGCGAAGGCGACCCCCUGGGCCAUAACUGACGCUGAGGUGCGAAAGCGUGGGGAGCAAACAGG